Molecule: ribosomal RNA, 465 nt
Filed under: uncultured bacterium
Lineage: Bacteria
Description: partial 16S ribosomal RNA
Rfam family: Bacterial small subunit ribosomal RNA
Source: RNAcentral
GACGAACGCUGGCGGCGUGCUUAACACAUGCAAGUCGAGCGGAAAGGCCCUGCUUGCAGGGUACUCGAGUGGCGAACGGGUGAGUAACACGUGGGUGAUCUGCCCUGCACUUCGGGAUAAGCUUGGGAAACUGGGUCUAAUACCGGAUAGGAGCCAUCUUUAGUGUGGUGGUUGGAAAGUUUUUUCGGUGUAGGAUGAGCUCGCGGCCUAUCAGCUUGUUGGUGGGGUAAUGGCCUACCAAGGCGGCGACGGGUAGCCGGCCUGAGAGGGUGUACGGCCACAUUGGGACUGAGAUACGGCCCAGACUCCUACGGGAGGCAGCAGUGGGGAAUAUUGCACAAUGGGCGCAAGCCUGAUGCAGCGACGCCGCGUGGGGGAUGAAGGCCUUCGGGUUGUAAACUCCUUUCGCUAGGGACGAAGCUUUGUUGUGACGGUACCUAGAUAAGAAGCACCGGCUAACUACGU